This 168-nucleotide ribosomal RNA is filed under the name uncultured bacterium. RNAcentral describes it as "partial 16S rRNA". It matches the Rfam family "Bacterial small subunit ribosomal RNA", at positions 352 to 511 of the family's 1533-position model. The record is from RNAcentral.
CAGUAGGGAAUCUUCGGCAAUGGACGAAAGUCUGACCGAGCAACGCCGCGUGAGUGAAGAAGGUUUUCGGAUCGUAGAACUCUGUUGGUAGAGAGGAACGUUGGUGAGAGUGGAAAGCUCAUCAAGUGACGGUAACUACCCAGAAAGGGACGGCUAACUACGUGCCAG